CGCGUGAAAGGGCCAACGCUGUCGUGACUAAUCAAUGUGGACACGCCAAGUGAUGGACUUCCCACUGAUCACAUUUAUCCCUCCUCCCCACGGACAUUUGUUUCUUCUUGUUGUUGUCUCAAUUCUGACUUGAAAAGUUAACACAGAUACUGCCUGAGCCCGGGUAUCCCACUAUUUCUUACAGAUUUCUGAGGUGUUUUUAUUUUGUUUGUUUGUUUUCUGAAUUUAAUUUGCCAGUAAGUAGUUUGAUUUCACUUAAAGCCCGAUUUACGUGAGCAGCGACAUGAGCAAAAAAGAAUGAGACUCACACGUCUCCGACCACCGGCGGCGCCUGACCCCCUUUUCCUCGGCCAACAAAUGACAGUCUCCCGAAGCAAAAAGCCUCUGGAGCUAUCCGAGAACCCGAGCUGGGCAAAACCAGCAGAAAUGGAAGGGAUUUUUCGUCAUUCCCAAGUUAUCCAAAUGUAAAAGUUGAAGUAUCAUAAAAUCUAUUUCUGUUCA
This is a non-coding RNA of Chiloscyllium plagiosum (whitespotted bambooshark), 501 nucleotides long. The record is from RefSeq and is a predicted model, not a curated record. Lineage: Eukaryota; Metazoa; Chordata; Chondrichthyes; Orectolobiformes; Hemiscylliidae.